Molecule: ribosomal RNA, 630 nt
Filed under: Clostridioides difficile
Lineage: Bacteria; Bacillati; Bacillota; Clostridia; Peptostreptococcales; Peptostreptococcaceae
Description: bacterial LSU rRNA
Rfam family: Bacterial large subunit ribosomal RNA
Source: RNAcentral
UAACUGAGCGUUCAGUUACUUGACGUAGACCCGAAACCGGGCGACCUACCCAUGAGCAGGAUGAAGCGAAAGUAAAAUUUCGUGGAGGUCCGAACCCACGAGCGUUGAAAAGCUCGGGGAUGACUUGUGGGUAGCGGUGAAAUUCCAAUCGAGCCCGGAGAUAGCUGGUUCUCCCCGAAAUAGCUUUAGGGCUAGCCUCAAGGUGAGAGAUACGGAGGUAGAGCACUGAAUGUCCUAGGGGGUAUUGCACCUACCGAAGACUAUCAAACUCCGAAUGCCGUCAUCUUAUACUUGGGAGUCAGACUGUGGGUGAUAAGAUUCAUAGUCGAAAGGGCAACAGCCCAGAUCGUCAGCUAAGGUCCCUAAAUGUAAGUUAAGUGGUAAAGGAUGUGGGAUUGCACAGACAACCAGGAUGUUGGCUUAGAAGCAGCCACUCAUUCAAAGAGUGCGUAAUAGCUCACUGGUCGAGUGAUCCUGCGCCGAAGAUUUCCGGGGCUAAAACUUACUACCGAAGCUACGGCAUCAGUAAGGAUGGGUAGGGGAGCUUCCCAUACGGGUUGAAGCAUGACCGUAAGGACAUGUGGACAGUAUGGGAGUGAGAAUGUUGGCAUGAGUAGCGAGAUGUGGGUG